This 407-nucleotide ribosomal RNA is filed under the name uncultured bacterium. RNAcentral's name for it is "partial 16S ribosomal RNA". It matches the Rfam family "Bacterial small subunit ribosomal RNA", at positions 28 to 526 of the family's 1533-position model. The record is from RNAcentral.
GACGAACGCUGGCGGCGUGCCUAAUACAUGCAAGUAGUACGCAGUUGCGAACGGGUGAGUAACGCGUAAGUAACUACCUAUAAGAGGGGGAUAACUAUUGGAAACGAUAGCUAAUACCGCAUACUAGUAGAUGGACCUGAGUUGUAUUAGCUAGUAGGUAGGGUAAUGGCCUACCUAGGCAAUGAUACAUAGCCGACCUGGUAGGGUGGUCGGCCAUGAUGGGAAUGAGAAAAGGCCCAGAAUCCUACGGGAGGCAGCAGUUGGGCAUCGUCGGCAAUGGGGGGAACCAUGACCGAGGAACGCCGGUGGAGUGAAGAAGGGUUUCGGAUAGUUAAGCUCUGUUGUUAAGGAAGCGGUAAUUAACCAGAAAGGGACGGCUAACUACGUGCCAGCAGCCGCGGUAAUUC